RNAcentral lists this non-coding RNA (21 nucleotides) under Caenorhabditis elegans. The record is from RNAcentral. Lineage: Eukaryota; Metazoa; Nematoda; Chromadorea; Rhabditida; Rhabditidae.
UCCGAACAAAAACGACAGCGA